RNAcentral lists this ribosomal RNA (1286 nucleotides) under uncultured bacterium. Its description in RNAcentral is "bacterial SSU rRNA". It matches the Rfam family "Bacterial small subunit ribosomal RNA", at positions 29 to 1372 of the family's 1533-position model. The record is from RNAcentral.
GUGAACGCUGGCGGUGCGCCUAACACAUGCAAGUCGAGUGGGUUUAGACCCACGGCGAACGGCUGCGUAACACGUUGGUACCUGCCCCGAACUCAGGGAUAUCCCGCCGAAAGGCGGAGUAAUACCGGAUGCCCUCGCAAGAGGAAAGCUUUCGCGGUUCGGGAGGGGCCUGCGGCCUAUCAGAUAGUUGGUGAGGUAACGGCUCACCAAGUCUAUGACGGGUAGCUGGUCUGAGAGGACGACCAGCCAGAAUGGAACUGAGAACGGUCCAUACUCCUACGGGAGGCAGCAGUGAGGAAUCUUCCGCAAUGGGCGAAAGCCUGACGGAGCGACACCGCGUGGGGGAUGAAGCCCUUUCCGGGUGUAAACCCCUGUUGUGAGGGACGAAAUUUUUGACGGUACCUCACGAGAAAGCACCGGCUAAUUCUGUGCCAGCAGCCGCGGUAAGACAGAAGGUGCAAGCGUUACUCGGAAUUACUGGGCGUAAAGCGUCUGCAGGUGUCCCAUCAAGUCUCCUGUAAAAGCACGGAGCCUAACUCCGUGUACGUAGGGGAAACUGACGGGAUCGAGAGACUCUAGAGGCAUCUGGAAUGUCGUGUGUAGGGGUAAAAUCCGUAGAUCCACGAUGGAACGCCAAAAGCGAAGGCAGGAUGCUACAAGUCUUCUGACACUCAGAGACGAAAGCGUGGGGAGCAAAGGGGAUUAGAUACCCCCGUAGUCCACGCCCUAAACGAUGCGGGCUCGGUGUGGGAACGUUUCAAUUCGUUCCCGUGCCUCAGCUAACGCGGUAAGCCCGCCGCCUGGGAAGUACGGCCGCAAGGCUAAAACUCAAAGGAAUAGACGGGGACCCACACAAGCGGUGGAGCAUGGGGUUCAAUUCGAUGGUAAACGAAGAACCUCACCCAGGCUUGACAUCUUCGGAAUCUGGCCGAAAGGUCGGAGUGCCGCAAGGAACCGAAAGACAGGCGAUGCACGGUCGUCGUCAGCUCGUGCCUUGAGGUGUACUGUUAAGUCAGCGAACGAGCGCAACCCUCAUCCUAUGUUGUACUUUCUUAGGAGACUGCCGCCUCCAAGGCGGAGGAAGGUGGGGAUGACGUCAGAUCAGCGUGUCCCUUAUGCCUGGGGCUACACCCAUGCUACAAUGGGCGGUACAAAGGGCUGCAAACCCGUCAGGGGGAGCAAAUCCCACCAAAACCGCUCUCAGUUCGGAUUGAAGGCUGCAACUCGCCUUCAUGAAGUUGGAAUCGCUAGUAACCGUGGGUCAGCCACACCACGGUGAAUAUGUU